CCUACGGGAGGCAGCAGUGAGGAAUCUUGGACACUGGGCGCGAGCCUGAACCAGCGAAGUCGCGUGAAGGAUGACUGACCUCCGGGUUGUAAACUUUUUUUAUGAAGGAAUCCAGUGAGGCACGUGUGUCUUUUUGUCUGUACUUUAUUAAUCAAGCUCGUCUCAUCCCGUGCCAGCCGCCGCGGUAAUACGGAGGUUCCGAGCGUUAUCAGGAUUUAGUGGGUUUAAAGGGAGCGUAGAUGGGUUGUUAAGUCAGUUGUGAAAGUUUGCGGCUCAACCGUAAAAUUGCAAUUGAUACUGGCAGUCUUGAGUGCAGUUGAGGUAGGCGGAAUUCGUGGUGUAGCGG
This 346-nucleotide ribosomal RNA is filed under the name uncultured bacterium. Its description in RNAcentral is "partial 16S ribosomal RNA". It matches the Rfam family "Bacterial small subunit ribosomal RNA", at positions 338 to 681 of the family's 1533-position model. The record is from RNAcentral.